ACGGAGGGUGCAAGCGUUAUUCGGAAUUACUGGGCGUAAAGCGCGUGUAGGCGGUCCUGCAAGUGUGAUGUGAAAGCCCCGGGCUUAACCCGGGAAGGGCAUUGGAAACUGUGGGACUUGAGUACAGGAGAGGAUGGGGGAAUUCCAGGUGUAGAGGUGAAAUGCGUAGAGAUUAGGAGGAACACCAGUGGCGAAGGCGCCUUUCUGGACGGUAACUGACGCUGAGGCGCGAAAGCGUGGGGAGCAAACAG
RNAcentral lists this ribosomal RNA (251 nucleotides) under uncultured prokaryote. RNAcentral's name for it is "partial 16S rRNA". It matches the Rfam family "Bacterial small subunit ribosomal RNA", at positions 525 to 775 of the family's 1533-position model. The record is from RNAcentral.